AUGAGCGUUGCUCUGACAGAACGCAUUGCCCUCAUGUAAAGCCCGGUCAAUUUUUGAGUGCCCUCUUUUAGAAAAUGUUUUGUCGCGAAAAUUUUGAUUCCUGCUCGAAAUAUACUCAUUCAUGAGGUUAAGAACAGUGAAAAGUAAACGUACAGGUAUACUUUGGUUGAAAAGCAAGAACAUGGUCUUGGAGGAUAAUGGAUUGGAUACUUGUGGAAGUAGACGGAUUGGUGCGUCAAGAAACAAUCUGAUGGUUAGUGUUGCACUAUUGAUAGGGCUGGAAAGUAUAUUACGGACCCUGGCUGAAACAAUCACCACUACUCAUGGCCCUCUUCAUGACGACGUUAAAGACUCAAAUGGAUAUGAGGAUUUCGAAUGGAACAAAAAUUUGAUCGACAGCAAAAUUAUUCCUGACGUUAUUCCUCAGGCAGUGCAGUUCAAUCUUAAAAUUCUUUUCGGAAAUGAAGAGAUUAAAUAUGGAAAUCUUUUAGUGCCUUCCACGGUAAAAGAGGAACCAACGCUUCUUGAGUGGCCAUCAGACAUGCAUAAGUACUACUCAAUCGUAAUGACAGACGCGGACAACCCUGAACCUGAAGAUAACAUACACGCAGAAUGGGUGCAUUGGGUCGUUAUGGACGUUCAAGGUGGAAACAGAAAUGUCUGCAGAAUAGUUGUUCCUUACCAAAAACCUCAGCAGAAUGAUUUCAGAAAAUUGAAAGGGAUGCACCGAUACGUGAUUGCAGUUUACGAACAACCUCAUGCCAAUGUUACGUUCCAUAUGCCCGUGUUAGACGAUGAACCCCCGCACGCAGAUCGAGCGCACUUUUCCUCAAAGUAUUUCGUAAAAAGGCACAAAAUGCAACCAGCUUGUGCGGCUAAUUUCUUCCGUAUUGAUUGCACGGAAAAAAAAGAUUUACUGAAUUUAAUGUGGGGUUGAGCAGUUGAGCAGUUGAGCAGUUGAGCAGUUGAGCAGCAUGAAGCACGCAUCAUGGGUGAAAAAUGACCUAUGACAGAAAGUCUGCAACGUCGUAACCCGAGAUACGUAGUCAGGUUAACAAGCAUACAGGGAUCCAAGUUCAGAGACAUCGAAGGAUAUGAGAAAGAGCGUAGUGAAAAAAUUAAAUAACGGAUAAACCAGGAAAUAUUGUUCUUUUCCUCAUUCCUCGAAUGUCUGUCUGGAUUUAUAUUGGACCUUUUGAUAAGAGCCCUGAGGACCGAAAAAUGAGAGCUUUUUACACUCCCCUGGAUGGACCGUCUGUGUAGACUUAAGGAACUCACUAGGAAGUUAUAGUGGAAAUCGCAUCGACGUGUUCACUCACUUGGGAAGGAGUCUCACUUCACUUUACCAUACAGACCUUUACCGACGGCUAAACUAAAAAAUCACGUAUAUGUACGUAUUAGCUCAUAAAACGAAGUAAUUACUUAUUUUGGAUAUUCUAAAAAUUCUCGUGCAAGCUGUUAUUUUGUAAUGAGAAACAAAUAAACAUCUCUGAGCACUAUA
Molecule: non-coding RNA, 1501 nt
Organism: Bemisia tabaci
Lineage: Eukaryota; Metazoa; Arthropoda; Insecta; Hemiptera; Aleyrodidae
Source: RefSeq, a predicted model, not a curated record